GGUCGAUUGGUCUAGUUGGUCAUGACGUGGGUAAGUUUUCACUGUGCCGCGCCGAAAGACGGCUUUCUCCUCCCACACAGCGAACUUCGCUGACAAUUCACUGCAGGUCUCAUAGAUUUGUGCUGUGAUUGCCUCAUGGAGGCGAGUUAUCCCAAGGCCACCAGUUCGAUCCUGGUAUCGACCA
Molecule: non-coding RNA, 184 nt
Organism: Phyllosticta citriasiana
Lineage: Eukaryota; Fungi; Ascomycota; Dothideomycetes; Botryosphaeriales; Phyllostictaceae
Source: the annotation of a GenBank genome assembly